AAUUUAGUUAUCAUUCAUUUAGUGUUAGGAACAUAAAUUGUGACUAAGGUUUGGUGGAAGAUUUUAAUUCAGAACUUAUGAAAACAAGACAUUUGUACUACAGAGCUAGAGGUGGUUUCAGCCUGGUUGGUACUGAAAGAGUUAAAACAAAAA
Molecule: long non-coding RNA, 153 nt
Organism: Octopus sinensis (East Asian common octopus)
Lineage: Eukaryota; Metazoa; Mollusca; Cephalopoda; Octopoda; Octopodidae
Exons: 2
Source: RefSeq, a predicted model, not a curated record